CCACUCUUGUAAUGUUAGAUUUCUAACUUUGUACCAUUAGCUGGUCAAAGAACAGUUUCAGGCGGGCAGUUUGACUGGGGCGGUCGCCUCCUAAACAGUAACGGAGGCGUACAAAGGUUUCCUCAGAUCGGUCAGAAAUCGAUCGUAGAGUGUAAAGGCAGAAGGAAGCUUGACUGUGAGACCUACAAGUCGAGCAGGGACGAAAGUCGGUCUUAGUGAUCUGACGGUACUGAGUGGGAAGGCCGUCACUCAACGGAUAAAAGUUACUCUAGGGAUAAC
This 279-nucleotide ribosomal RNA is filed under the name uncultured eukaryote. RNAcentral's name for it is "partial large subunit ribosomal RNA". It matches the Rfam family "Bacterial large subunit ribosomal RNA", at positions 2200 to 2478 of the family's 2925-position model. The record is from RNAcentral.